UAGGGAAUCUUCGGCAAUGGACGAAAGUCUGACCGAGCAACGCCGCGUGAGUGAAGAAGGUUUUCGGAUCGUAAAACUCUGUUGGUAGAGAAGAACGUUGGUGAGAGUGGAAAGCUCAUCAAGUGACGGUAACUACCCAGAAAGGGACGGCUAACUACGUGC
Molecule: ribosomal RNA, 162 nt
Filed under: uncultured bacterium
Lineage: Bacteria
Description: partial 16S ribosomal RNA
Rfam family: Bacterial small subunit ribosomal RNA
Source: RNAcentral